AUGGAAGAGGUGGCGGGGCUGAUGAAGGGACUGCAGCUGUCGGAGGAAGAGAAGAAGGGGGUGAAGAUUAGACUGUCAGCGAAGGAUAAGGGGAAGAGCGUGGAAUUGCAGGCGGUGGGGAAGGUGGUGUCAGAUCGGCUAGCGCACGCAGAUGCCAUCCGGUUGUCGUUGGGCAAGGUGUGGUGCCCCAUUAAGGGCAUCGAUUGCAAGGAAGUGGGGGAGAACCGAUUCAUGUUUACGUUCUAUCAAGAUUCGGGGAAGAGGAAGGCGCUUGAUAAUGGGCCUUGGAUGUUCGAUAAAGACCUGGUAGUAGUGGAAGAUUUUGUGCCCAGGAAGAGAAUUGAAGACUAUGAGUUUAGUAAUAUUCCGAUAUGGGUGAGGGUUUAUGAUUUACCUCUUGGGAUGAUGAAUGCGGAGUCAGCUGGGGAUAUUGGAAACUUUGUUGGUCAAUUCGUGGAGGCUGAUACUGAGGCAGACGGCAAUGCUAUUGGGAAGUAUCUGCGGGUCAAAGUACGCAUGAGAAUAGAUAAGCCGAUUAUGAGGGGAUUCAUGUUAGAGGAGGAGGAGGACGAUGGGAAGGGGAGGGGCCAGGAGAAAGAAGGGAAGAAGACGGAGGAGGAGGAAAGCGGAUGGUGUCGUUUUGAGUAUGAAUUCAUGCCGGAUUUUUGUUACAUCUGUGGACUCAUUGGACAUGGCGAGAAGGACUGCUCCAAAACCCUGCAGAAGGGUGAGAAGCCGCAGUUUGGACGGUGGCAACGAGCGGACAUGAACCAGAGAAGGGGAUCUUUUGAGGAAGAAGGCUAG
RNAcentral lists this ribosomal RNA (804 nucleotides) under Triticum aestivum (bread wheat). Its description in RNAcentral is "partial small subunit ribosomal RNA". Lineage: Eukaryota; Viridiplantae; Streptophyta; Magnoliopsida; Poales; Poaceae. The record is from RNAcentral.